AAGAGCUUUAAAUGAGGGAGCCAAGCGGCCCUGAGAGCAGCGAUGAAGGAAGAAGAGCAAAUCCAAUGCGGUACAUGGAGACCAGCAGAACAGACUGUGGUAGAGACUUCAGGCUCAGCCAGAUCUGGUUCUCUUCUCCUUCCUGGGUACCAGGGAGAACCACACCUCCCAGGCUCCUUGCAGUUCCACAGGAACAUGUGACUAGCUCCGGCCCAAGGGCUCGGAGAAGUGUCACGUGUUGCUUCCAGGUUGCAAGUGAAUGUGAGUUAUCCGCACUUUCUCAUUCCCUUUAGUAGCAACCGUGGAGACCACAUGUUGAGAUGGCAGAGCGUGGAUCCCUGGGCUGCCACAGAAAGGAGCUGUCCUGAACAGCUGCCCAGUUCACAUUGGACUUGGCACAAAUGAGAAAUAAGGGUUGCGUUGUUAAGUCGCUG
Molecule: long non-coding RNA, 434 nt
Filed under: Homo sapiens (human)
Lineage: Eukaryota; Metazoa; Chordata; Mammalia; Primates; Hominidae
Description: non-protein coding lnc-CPSF7-2:2
Source: RNAcentral